RNAcentral lists this ribosomal RNA (492 nucleotides) under uncultured bacterium. RNAcentral describes it as "partial 16S ribosomal RNA". It matches the Rfam family "Bacterial small subunit ribosomal RNA", at positions 29 to 507 of the family's 1533-position model. The record is from RNAcentral.
AGUGAACGCUGGCGGUAGGCCUAACACAUGCAAGUCGAACGGCAGCACAGUAAGAGCUUGCUCUUGCGGGUGGCGAGUGGCGGACGGGUGAGGAAUACAUCGGAAUCUACUUUUUCGUGGGGGAUAACGUAGGGAAACUUACGCUAAUACCGCAUACGACCUACGGGUGAAAGCAGGGGAUCUUCGGACCUUGCGCGAUUGAAUGAGCCGAUGUCGGAUUAGCUAGUUGGCGGGGUAAAGGCCCACCAAGGCGACGAUCCGUAGCUGGUCUGAGAGGAUGAUCAGCCACACUGGAACUGAGACACGGUCCAGACUCCUACGGGAGGCAGCAGUGGGGAAUAUUGGACAAUGGGCGCAAGCCUGAUCCAGCCAUACCGCGUGGGUGAGGAAGGCCUUCGGGUUGUAAAGCCCUUUUGUUGGGAAAGAAAAGCAGCAGGUUAAUACCCCGCUGUUCUGACGGUACCCAAAGAAUAAGCACCGGCUAACUUCGUG